UACGAAGGGGGCUAGCGUUGUUCGGAAUUACUGGGCGUAAAGCGCACGUAGGCGGAUCGAUCAGUCAGGGGUGAAAUCCCGCAGCUCAACUGCGGAACUGCCUUUGAUACUGUCGAUCUAGAGUAUGGAAGAGGUGAGUGGAAUUCCGAGUGUAGAGGUGAAAUUCGUAGAUAUUCGGAGGAACACCAGUGGCGAAGGCGGCUCACUGGCUCGACACUGACGCUGAGGUGCGAAAGCGUGGGGAGCAAACAGG
Molecule: ribosomal RNA, 253 nt
Filed under: uncultured bacterium
Lineage: Bacteria
Description: partial 16S ribosomal RNA
Rfam family: Bacterial small subunit ribosomal RNA
Source: RNAcentral